This 1449-nucleotide ribosomal RNA is filed under the name uncultured prokaryote. RNAcentral's name for it is "partial 16S ribosomal RNA". It matches the Rfam family "Bacterial small subunit ribosomal RNA". The record is from RNAcentral.
GAACGCUGGCGGCAUGCCUAAUACAUGCAAGUCGAACGCGAAAGUCACCUCGGUGUGAGUAGAGCGGCGGACGGGUGAGUAACGCGUAGGAAUUUGCCUAGUAGUGGGGGACAACUUGGGGAAACUCAAGCUAAUACCGCAUACGCCCUACGGGGGAAAGCAGGGGGUUUUCGAACCUUGUGCUAUUAGAUAAGCCUGCGGCGGAUUAGCUAGUUGGUAGGGUAAUGGCCUACCAAGGCGACGAUCCGUAGCUGGUCUGAGAGGAUGAUCAGCCACACUGGGACUGAGACACGGCCCAGACUCCUACGGGAGGCAGCAGUGGGGAAUAUUGGACAAUGGGGGCAACCCUUAUCCAGCCAUUCCGCGUGUGUGAAGAAGGCCUUAGGGUUGUAAAGCACUUUCAGUAGGGAGGAAAAGUUAGUCGUUAAUAACGGCUAACCCUGACGUUACCUACAGAAGAAGCACCGGCAAACUCCGUGCCAGCAGCCGCGGUAAUACGGAGGGUGCGAGCGUUAAUCGGAAUUACUGGGCGUAAAGCGCGCGUAGGCGGCCUGAUAAGUUGGAUGUGAAAGCCCUGGGCUCAACCUAGGAACUGCAUUCAAAACUGUCAGGCUAGAGUAUGGUAGAGGAUAGUGGAAUUUCCGGUGUAGCGGUGAAAUUCGUAGAUAUUAGGAGGAACACCAGUGGCGAAGGCGGCUUUCUGGACCGAUACUGACGCUGAGGCGCGAAAGCGUGGGGAGCCAACAGGAUUAGAUACCCUGGCAGUCCACGCCGUAAACGAUGUAAACUAGCAGUUGGGGGGCUUGUCCCCUUAGUGGCCGUAGCUAACGCGAUAAGUUCUCCGCCUGGGGAGUACGGCCGCAAGGUUAAAACUCAAAUGAAUUGACGGGGGCCCGCACAAGCGGUGGAGCAUGUGGUUUAAUUCGAUGCAACGCGAAGAACCUUACCAGGACUUGACAUCUAGCGAAUUUCGCAGAAACGUGAAAGUGCCUUCGGGGGCCAAGAGACAGGUGCUGCAUGGCUGUCGUCAGCUCGUGUAGUGAGAUGUUGGGUUAAGUCCCGCAACGAGCGCAACCCUCGGAUUUAGUUGCCAUCAUUUAGUUGGGCACUCUAGAUCGACUGCCGGUGACAAACCGGAGGAAGGUGGGGAUGACGUCAAGUCAUCAUGGCCCUUAUGGGCAGGGCUACACACGUGCUACAAUGGACGGUACAGAGGGUGGCCAAGCCGCGAGGUGGAGCUAAUCCCAGAAAACCGUUCGUAGUCCGGAUUGCAGUCUGCAACUCGACUGCAUGAAGUCGGAAUCGCUAGUAAUCGCGGAUCAGAAUGCCGCGGUGAAUACGUUCCCGGGCCUUGUACACACCGCCCGUCACACCAUGGGAGUGGGUUGUACCAGAAGUAGGUAGUCUAACCGUAAGGAGGACGAUUACCACGGUGGGUCAAAAAUGGGG